UAGGGAAUCUUCGGCAAUGGGGGGAACCCUGACCGAGCAACGCCGCGUGAGUGAAGAAGGUUUUCGGAUCGUAAAGCUCUGUUGUUAAGGAAGAACGAGUGUGAGAAUGGAAAGUUCAUACUGUGACGGUACUUAACCAGAAAGGGACGGCUAACUACGUGCCAGCAGCCGCGGUAAUACGUAGGUCCCGAGCGUUGUCCGGAUUUAUUGGGCGUAAAGCGAGCGCAGGCGGUUAGAUAAGUCUGAAGUUAAAGGCAGUGGCUCAACCAUUGUAGGCUUUGGAAACUGGAAAACUUGAGUGCAGAAGAGGAAAGUGGAAUUCCAUGUGUAGCGGUGAAAUGCGCAGAGAUAUGGAGGAACACCAGUGGCGAAGGCGACUUUCUGGUCUGUAACUGACGCUGAUGUGCGAAAGCGUGGGAAUCAAACAGG
RNAcentral lists this ribosomal RNA (429 nucleotides) under Bacteroidota bacterium. Its description in RNAcentral is "Bacteroidetes bacterium partial 16S ribosomal RNA". It matches the Rfam family "Bacterial small subunit ribosomal RNA", at positions 355 to 776 of the family's 1533-position model. The record is from RNAcentral. Lineage: Bacteria; Pseudomonadati; Bacteroidota.